UACGUAGGGGGCAAGCGUUGUCCGGAUUUAUUGGGCGUAAAGCGCGUGUAGGCGGCCAUGUAGGUCUGACGUGAAAUUCCGAGGCUCAACCUCGGCAGGUCGUUGGAAACCAUAUGGCUAGAGUCCGGAAGAGGAGAGUGGAAUUCCUGGUGUAGCGGUGAAAUGCGCAGAUAUCAGGAAGAACACCAAUGGCGAAGGCAGCUCUCUGGGGACGGUAC
This 218-nucleotide ribosomal RNA is filed under the name uncultured bacterium. Its description in RNAcentral is "partial 16S ribosomal RNA". It matches the Rfam family "Bacterial small subunit ribosomal RNA", at positions 524 to 740 of the family's 1533-position model. The record is from RNAcentral.